GCGGGAAGAGCUCAAAUUUUGAAUCUGGCGGUCUUCAGGCUGUCCGAGUUGUAAUCUAGAGAAGCGUCUUCCGCGCUGGACCGUGUACAAGUCUCCUGGAAGGGAGCGUCAUAGAGGGUGAGAAUCCCGUCUUUGACACGGACUACCAGUGCUAUGUGAUGCGCUCUCGACGAGUCGAGUUGUUUGGGAAUGCAGCUCAAAAUGGGUGGUAAAUUCCAUCUAAAGCUAAAUACAGGCGAGAGACCGAUAGCGAACAAGUACCGUGAGGGAAAGAUGAAAAGAACUUUGGAAAGAGAGUUAAACAGUACGUGAAAUUGCUGAAAGGGAAACGCUUGAUGUCAGUCGCGUCGUCCGGGGAUCAACCUUGCUUCUCGCUGGGUGUACUUCCCGGUAGACGGGUCAGCAUCAGUUUCGGUCGUCGUACAAGGGCGAGGGGAACGUGGCACUCUUCGGAGUGUGUUAUAGCCUUUCGUCGUAUGCGGCGGGUUGGGACUGAGGAACUCAGCACGACUUCCGUCUGUGCUUAGGAUGCUGGCAUAAUGGCCUUAAGCGACCCGUC
Molecule: small RNA, 559 nt
Filed under: Rubroboletus legaliae
Lineage: Eukaryota; Fungi; Basidiomycota; Agaricomycetes; Boletales; Boletaceae
Description: eukaryotic LSU rRNA
Rfam family: Eukaryotic large subunit ribosomal RNA
Source: RNAcentral